UGGGGAAUAUUGCACAAUGGGCGCAAGCCUGAUGCAGCCAUGCCGCGGGUAUGAAGAAGGCCUUCGGGUUGUAAAGUACUUUCAGUAGGGAGGAAGGUGGUAAGGUUAAUAACCUUAUCAAUUGACGUUACCGACAGAAGAAGCACCGGCUAACUCCGUGCCAGCAGCCGCGGUAAUACGGAGGGUGCAAGCGUUAAUCGGAAUUACUGGGCGUAAAGCGCACGCAGGCGGUUGAUUGAGUCAGAUGUGAAAUCCCCGGGCUUAACCCGGGAAUUGCAUCUGAUACUGGUCAGCUAGAGUCUUUAGAGGGGGGUAGAAUUCCAUGUGUAGCGGUGAAAUGCGUAGAGAUGUGGAGGAAUACCGGUGGCGCAGGCGACCCCCUGGACAAAGACUGACGCUCAGGUGCGAAAGCGUGGGGAGCAAACAGG
Molecule: ribosomal RNA, 428 nt
Filed under: Chloroflexota bacterium
Lineage: Bacteria; Bacillati; Chloroflexota
Description: Chloroflexi bacterium partial 16S ribosomal RNA
Rfam family: Bacterial small subunit ribosomal RNA
Source: RNAcentral